AGUUUGCCGUAGCUCGUGGGUAGUGCUGUUCAGAAAGUCAUGUCUCACAACAUAUUGAGAGAGAAAAUAUAUAAAAAAGAAGAAGAGCUCUCCCGAUAUUUAAUAGUUCCUAAUGUUGAAAGAAAAACCAACUUAUCUCAGACGCCUCCCGGUUCGAAGAGCUUAGAGGCCAGUGUCCCCUCUCCAGGUAUAGACCAGUGAUCCCAGUCCAGGGUUAGACCAGUGAUCCCAGUCCAGGGUUAGACCAGUGAUCCCAGUCCAGGGUUAGACCAGUGAUCCCAGUCCAGGGUUAGACCAGUGAUCCCAGUCCAGGUUUAGACCAGUGAUCCCAGUCCAGGUUUAGACCAGUGGAGUGAGGUGGAGUGAGGUGGAGUCGGGUGGAGGCCCCAGCUAGUUGAGCGCGUGCUGUCUGAUGGUGUGGAAGAUCCAGUCCAUCUUAGUGGUCCAGCCCCCGUGAUGCGCGUCGUUCAUCUGCUUCAUGAAGUAGUC
Long non-coding RNA from Gadus macrocephalus (Pacific cod), 489 nucleotides. RefSeq lists it as uncharacterized. The transcript is spliced from 3 exons. Lineage: Eukaryota; Metazoa; Chordata; Actinopteri; Gadiformes; Gadidae. The record is from RefSeq and is a predicted model, not a curated record.